ACAUUAGGCCAGAUGGUGAAAGGUUACAGAUGUAGGUCUAUUAACCCGGCUAGAUCCAGGGUCAAAGGUCACCAAAACACAAGUAAGACCGCAGGAGAAAUGGCCAGUAGUCAGUGAGAAGGGGGCGUGGUUCCUGGAUCAGGUUUGGAGAGGAACCGGGACAGAAGGGCCAUGGGUCGGGUUUGAAAUGUCACCGGGCCGGCGUUGUGGUUCCGGGUCGGCGGGCCGGAGGCCGCAGGUGCUGGUCCAGCACGGUGAUCCGCUCCGGGAACAGCGCAUCCACAUCGAACGGGAACUCCAUGGCCCAUUGUGCGGGACCAGACACGCCCCACACAACGUCACUUCCGCUAAGAGGGCCGGUCUGUGCCCCUGAGAUGCCAGGGCAACCAAGUAUCCUGCCCUCCCAGUGAACAGCUGAGGGAACCUUCAGAAGAACCAGUCUCACACCCCUUGGAGUUGCGGGUAGACCACACUCCCACCCCACCUCAUAGACUUCACACCCACGUUUUGAACAGACAGCCCAAAGGGAGUCAAGAACGGGUGAAGAGACACAGCUUUAUUGUAUAAAAGCUGAGCCAGGAGGUUUAAAUCAGGGACACACCAUCAAGGGCAUACACAAGAGUCUCCAGUUUAUAUGUAAGUCCUCACCAGUUACCCAUAAACAUCUAGUCCCCCUC
Molecule: long non-coding RNA, 677 nt
Organism: Mus musculus (house mouse)
Lineage: Eukaryota; Metazoa; Chordata; Mammalia; Rodentia; Muridae
Product: predicted gene 16279
Exons: 2
Source: RefSeq, marked validated